CAGCAGCCACGGGAAUACGAAGGGUGCAAGCGUUAAUCGGAAUUACUGGGCGUAAAGCGUGCGUAGGCGGUUUGUUAAGUCUGUUGUGAAAUCCCCGGGCUCAACCUGGGAAUGGCAAUGGAUACUGGCAAGCUAGAGUGUGUCAGAGGAUGGUGGAAUUCCCGGUGUAGCGGUGAAAUGCGUAGAGAUCGGGAGGAACAUCAGUGGCGAAGGCGGCCAUCUGGGACAACACUGACGCUGAGGCACGAAAGCGUGGGGAGCAAACAGAAUUAGAUACCCGGGUAGUCCCUGUCUCUUAUAC
This 301-nucleotide ribosomal RNA is filed under the name uncultured bacterium. RNAcentral describes it as "partial 16S ribosomal RNA". It matches the Rfam family "Bacterial small subunit ribosomal RNA", at positions 509 to 807 of the family's 1533-position model. The record is from RNAcentral.